RNAcentral lists this unclassified non-coding RNA (250 nucleotides) under plant metagenome. RNAcentral describes it as "partial contains small subunit ribosomal RNA, internal transcribed spacer 1, and 5.8S ribosomal RNA". The record is from RNAcentral.
GUAGGUGAACCUGCGGAGGGAUCAUUAACACGUGUCCACACGUUUAACAUACCCAUUCAUCAACCAUGCGUGAACCAGAAACAACUCCCUUCACAGACGGACGACUGAUAAUCAUCAGGGUGGAGUUCUACGUCAACGGCGAACAAGGCAUCGACCCUCGGUCCGGCUAGAACUAUGACUCGGUCUAGAGGCUCUUAGAGGCUUCAAUCCACUGUGAAGUGUCAGCGCGACCUCCUGGCAGACUGCACCC